UCCGGUUUGUCACCGGCAGUCUCAUUAGAGUGCCCUUGCGUAGCAACUAAUGACAAGGGUUGCGCUCGUUGCGGGACUUAACCCAACAUCUCACGACACGAGCUGACGACAGCCAUGCAGCACCUGUGUGCCAGUUCUCUUGCGAGCACUCCCUAAUCUCUUAGGGAUUCUGACCAUGUCAAGGGUAGGUAAGGUUUUUCGCGUUGCAUCGAAUUAAUCCACAUCAUCCACCGCUUGUGCGGGUCCCCGUCAAUUCCUUUGAGUUUUAAUCUUGCGACCGUACUCCCCAGGCGGUCGACUUCACGCGUUAGCUGCGUUACCAAGUCAAUUAAGACCCGACAACUAGUCGACAUCGUUUAGGGCGUGGACUAC
Molecule: unclassified non-coding RNA, 372 nt
Filed under: uncultured Gammaproteobacteria bacterium
Lineage: Bacteria; Pseudomonadati; Pseudomonadota; Gammaproteobacteria
Description: contains 16S-23S intergenic spacer region
Source: RNAcentral